RNAcentral lists this ribosomal RNA (407 nucleotides) under uncultured bacterium. RNAcentral describes it as "partial 16S ribosomal RNA". It matches the Rfam family "Bacterial small subunit ribosomal RNA", at positions 28 to 526 of the family's 1533-position model. The record is from RNAcentral.
GACGAACGCUGGCGGCGUGCCUAAUACAUGCAAGUAGGACGCAGUUGCGAACGGGUGAGUAACGCGUAGGUAACUACCUAUUAGAGGGGGAUAACUAUUGGAAACGAUAGAUAAUACCGCAUACUAGUAGAUGGAACUGUGUUGUAUUAGCUAGUAGGUAGGGUAAAGGCCUACCUAGGCAACGAUACAUAGCCGCACUUGUGGGGUGUACGGCCCCACUGGGACUGAGACACGGCCCAGACUCCUACGGGAGGCAGCAGUAGGGAAUCUUCGGAAAUGGGGGGAACCCUGACCGAGCAACGCCGCGUGAGUGAAGCAGGUUUUCGGAUCGUAAAGCUCUGUUGUUAAGGAAGCGGUACUUAACCAGAAAGGGACGGCUAACUACGUGCCAGCAGCCGCGGUAAUAC